Molecule: long non-coding RNA, 413 nt
Filed under: Malus domestica (apple)
Lineage: Eukaryota; Viridiplantae; Streptophyta; Magnoliopsida; Rosales; Rosaceae
Description: long non-coding RNA (MDOM_LNC002629)
Source: RNAcentral
UUUGGAGUGCUAAUAACAAAUCCCUUCUUUUUUCAUUAUCAAUAAAAUUUCCCUCAUACCGUCAAGGUUUACCCAAAAAAAAAAAAUUGUCCUUCAUUAGUUAGAUGUUAAUGAUUUGAAUUUUUAAUUGGUGGAGGGUGUUUUUUGGUAUUUCAAAUGCUUCACUAUUUUGAUGCUUCCACUUUAUAUAUACUAGCCUUCACGCAUGCGCUGACGUGCGUGUAGAAGGUAUUUUUUGAAUCACGGUGUGCUACAUGCGACUUACACGUUUUAAAUAUAUUUAUAUGCGUAAAUUGACAUAAGGAAAGUUAAAUAUUUGAAGUAAAUGAAUAAUUUUAGAUAAUGCUAGAAGAAACCCCUCAUAAACCAAUUAAAGCAACUGAAUUCACAUAAUAAAGUCGGUUUCUAUAGAA